AUUGAACGCUGGCGGCAUGCUUUACACGUGCAAGUCGAACGGUAACAGGCCUUCGGGUGCUGACGAGUGGCGAACGGGUGAGUAAUGCAUCGGAACGUACCCAGAGGUGGGGGAUAACGCAGCGAAAGCUGUGCUAAUACCGCAUGUGAUCUGAGGAUGAAAGCGGGGGACCGAGCAGCAAUGUUUGGCCUCGCGCCUUUGGAGCGGCCGAUGUCGGAUUAGCUAGUUGGUGGGGUAAAGGCCUACCAAGGCGACGAUCCGUAGCUGGUCUGAGAGGACGACCAGCCACACUGGGACUGAGACACGGCCCAGACUCCUACGGGAGGCAGCAAUGGGGAAUUUUGGACAAUGGGCGCAAGCCUGAUCCAGCAAUGCCGCGUGCGGGAAGAAGGCCUUCGGGUUGUAAACCGCUUUUGGCAGGAACGAAACGGUGUCCGCUAAUACCGGGCGCUAAUGACGGUACCUGCAGAAUAAGCACCGGCUAACUACGUG
Molecule: ribosomal RNA, 492 nt
Filed under: uncultured bacterium
Lineage: Bacteria
Description: partial 16S ribosomal RNA
Rfam family: Bacterial small subunit ribosomal RNA
Source: RNAcentral